CAACCCUCAAGCUCAGCUUGGUAUUGGGUGUUACCUUGCCUGGUACACCUUAAAAUCAGUGGCGGUGCCAUUCAGAUUCAAGCAUAGUAAUACUUCUUGCUUUGGAGGUUGGGUGUUUGCUUGCCAGCAACCUAAUUAUCAAA
Molecule: unclassified non-coding RNA, 143 nt
Filed under: uncultured Leotiomycetes
Lineage: Eukaryota; Fungi; Ascomycota; Leotiomycetes
Description: sequence contains ITS2
Source: RNAcentral